Molecule: transfer RNA, 64 nt
Filed under: Hydroptila angulata
Lineage: Eukaryota; Metazoa; Arthropoda; Insecta; Trichoptera; Hydroptilidae
Description: tRNA-Phe
Source: RNAcentral
AUUUAAGUAACUUAUAUAGAGUAUAAUAUUGAAGAUAUUAGAGAAGUAAUUUUACUCUUAAAUA